RNAcentral lists this ribosomal RNA (403 nucleotides) under Bacillota bacterium. RNAcentral describes it as "Firmicutes bacterium partial 16S ribosomal RNA". It matches the Rfam family "Bacterial small subunit ribosomal RNA", at positions 355 to 776 of the family's 1533-position model. Lineage: Bacteria; Bacillati; Bacillota. The record is from RNAcentral.
UGGGGAAUAUUGCACAAUGGGCGAAAGCCUGAUGCAGCAACGCCGCGUGAGUGAUGAAGGUUUUCGGAUCGUAAAACUCUGUCCUCAAGGAAGAUAAUGACGGUACUUGAGGAGGAAGCCCCGGCUAACUACGUGCCAGCAGCCGCGGUAAUACGUAGGGGGCUAGCGUUAUCCGGAUUUACUGGGCGUAAAGGGUGCGUAGGCGGUCUUUCAAGUCAGAAGUUAAAUUCUACGGCUCAACCGUAGCCAGCUUUUGAAACUGGAAGACUUGAGUGCAGGAGAGGAGAGUAGAAUUCCUAGUGUAGCGGUGAAAUGCGUAGAUAUUAGGAGGAAUACCAGUAGCGAAGGCGGCUCUCUGGACUGUAACUGACGCUGAGGCACGAAAGCGUGGGGAGCGAACAGG